This 253-nucleotide ribosomal RNA is filed under the name uncultured bacterium. Its description in RNAcentral is "partial 16S ribosomal RNA". It matches the Rfam family "Bacterial small subunit ribosomal RNA", at positions 524 to 776 of the family's 1533-position model. The record is from RNAcentral.
UACAGAGGUCCCAAGCGUUGUUCGGAUUCACUGGGCGUAAAGGGUGUGUAGGAGGUGACGUAAGUCAGCUGUGAAAUCCCAGGGCUUAACCCUGGAACUGCAGCCGAUACUGCGUUGCUAGAGGAUCGGAGGGGGAUGCGGAAUUCUCGGUGUAGCAGUGAAAUGCGUAGAUAUCGAGAGGAACACCGGUGGCGAAGGCGGCAUCCUGGACGAUUCCUGACUCUGAAACACGAAAGCUAGGGGAGCAAACGGG